CGCGUAGGCGGCCGCUUGCGUCGGAUGUGAAAGCCCGGGGCUCAACCCCGGAACUGCAUGCGAUACGGGGCGGCUCGAGACCGAGAGAGGUGAGUGGAAUACCCAGUGUAGAGGUGAAAUUCGUAGAUAUUGGGUGGAACACCGGUGGCGAAAGCGGCUCACUGGCUCGGUUCUGACGCUGAGGCGCGAAAGCGUGGGAGCAAACA
Molecule: ribosomal RNA, 206 nt
Filed under: uncultured bacterium
Lineage: Bacteria
Description: partial 16S ribosomal RNA
Rfam family: Bacterial small subunit ribosomal RNA
Source: RNAcentral